CUGCUGAUACCAAUUUUGCAAGACUGGGUGCAUGUGUGCAGACAACCAGAUUUCAUCUCUACUGCUUCCUGGCUGACAGCAACCCUGCUGAUCCCAGGAGUACUCCUCAACAAAUCUGCAACAUGGUCAUCUCCGACUCCGUAUCUGCUUCCAGAGAACCCAACGUGUAGCAGUUGAUGGAAGGCAUGGCCCAAGAAAUUAGCCAUGAGGAUGGAAUUUUGGAGCUGCAUCAUUUGCCACCCAGCUAACUGUGAGGACUGCCAUCCUUGGUGUAGGAGGUGCAGCAUGAAGCAGUUGGGCUCUGACAAAGAGCCUUUUGGAAGCAAAGAUAAAUACACAAUGGACAAGGAAUACCUUCUCAUGGGUCUGCAUGCAUUCGCCUGUACAAGGAGAAGAUGGCUGUCUGCAAACCAGGAAGAGUGUACUCACUAGAUACCAGAUCUGCCAGAGCCUUGAUCUUCAACUUCCCAGCCUACAGAACAACAGGAGAAGAUGGCGGAAGAGUAGGACAUGGAGAUCACCUUCCUCCCCACAGAUACAUCAGAAAUACAUCUACACGUGGAACUACUCCUAUAGAACACCCACUGAACGCUGGCAGAAGACC
Physeter macrocephalus (sperm whale) is the source of this 604-nucleotide long non-coding RNA. RefSeq lists it as uncharacterized. NCBI's taxonomy places the organism in Eukaryota, Metazoa, Chordata, Mammalia, Artiodactyla, Physeteridae. The record is from RefSeq and is a predicted model, not a curated record. The transcript is spliced from 5 exons.